Molecule: ribosomal RNA, 440 nt
Filed under: uncultured bacterium
Lineage: Bacteria
Description: partial 16S ribosomal RNA
Rfam family: Bacterial small subunit ribosomal RNA
Source: RNAcentral
CCUACGGGUGGCAGCAGUGGGGGAUAUUGCACAAUGGGCGAAACCCUGAUGCAGCGACGCCGCGUGUGGGAAGACGGUCCUCUGGAUUGUAAACUACUGUCCUCAGGGACGAAGAUGACGGUACUUGGGGAGGAAGCUUCGGCUAACUACGUGCCAGCAGCCGCGGUAAUACGCAGGGAGCGAGCGUUGUCCGGAAUUACGGGGUGUAAGGGGAGCGUAGGCGGGGAUGAAAGUUGGGUGGCAAGACUACCGGCUCAACUGGUAGUCGCACUCAAAACUGCAGCUCUUGAGUGAAGUAGAGGCAGGCGGAAUUCCUAGUGUAGCGGUGAAAUGCGUAGAUAUUAGGAGGAACACCAGUGGCGAAGGCGGCCUGCUGGGCUUUUACUGACGCUGAGGCUCGAAAGUGUGGGGAGCAAACAGGAUUAGAUACCCUAGUAGUC